GUGGGGAAUUUUGCGCAAUGGGGGAAACCCUGACGCAGCAACGCCGCGUGGAGGAUGAAGUACUUCGGUACGUAAACUCCUUUCGAUCGGGACGAUUAUGACGGUACCGGAAGAAGAAGCCCCGGCUAACUUCGUGCCAGCAGCCGCGGUAAUACGAGGGGGGCAAGCGUUGUUCGGAAUUAUUGGGCGUAAAGGGUGCGUAGGCGGUUUGGUAAGUCUUAUGUGAAAUCUAUGGGCUCAACUCAUAGACUGCAUGAGAAACUGCCGGGCUUGAGUGUGGGAGAGGUGAGUGGAAUUUCCGGUGUAGCGGUGAAAUGCGUAGAUAUCGGAAGGAACACCUGUGGCGAAAGCGGCUCACUGGACCACAACUGACGCUGAUGCACGAAAGCUAGGGGAGCAAACAGGAUUAGAUACCCUUGUAGUCC
This 425-nucleotide ribosomal RNA is filed under the name uncultured bacterium. Its description in RNAcentral is "bacterial SSU rRNA". It matches the Rfam family "Bacterial small subunit ribosomal RNA", at positions 354 to 796 of the family's 1533-position model. The record is from RNAcentral.